UACGGGGGGGGCAAGCGUUGUUCGGAAUUACUGGGCGUAAAGGGCUCGUAGGCGGCCAACUAAGUCACACGUGAAAUCCCUCGGCUCAACCGGGGAACUGCGUGUGAGACUGGAUGGCUUGAGUUUGGGAGAGGAAUGCGGAAUUCCAGGUGUAGCGGUGAAAUGCGUAGAUAUCUGGAGGAACACCGGUGGCGAAGGCGGCAUUCUGGACCAACACUGACGCUGAGGCGCGAAAGCCAGGGGAGCAAACGGG
This 253-nucleotide ribosomal RNA is filed under the name uncultured bacterium. RNAcentral's name for it is "partial 16S ribosomal RNA". It matches the Rfam family "Bacterial small subunit ribosomal RNA", at positions 524 to 776 of the family's 1533-position model. The record is from RNAcentral.